GAAACAUUGAAACUCUCCAACGGUUGUCAAGUGGAGGUGAAGUCAGGUAAUCUUGUUGCUCAAACAAAUCAGUCCGGAAUCCUGAAUCUUACUGCGGAGAAGCAUACAGGGAAGUUUCUCGCGGAAAAAUGCAUGCAUGAGGUAGCUUACAUUACCCGGAAGGUGGGGAAAGCCUGCUAAGGUUGGAGGAUAACAAAGUACGUGAUUUGCCAGAAAAGCCUAUUGCUACGAAUUUGCAGAAGGAAGCCGUACUAAC
Molecule: unclassified non-coding RNA, 256 nt
Filed under: Hevea brasiliensis (rubber tree)
Lineage: Eukaryota; Viridiplantae; Streptophyta; Magnoliopsida; Malpighiales; Euphorbiaceae
Source: RNAcentral